GACAGAGGGUGCAAACGUUGUUCGGAAUUACUGGGCGUAAAGCGCGCGUAGGCGGACCUGCAAGUCGGGGGUGAAAGCCCGAGGCUCAACCUCGGAACUGCCUUCGAUACUGCGGGUCUCGAGUCCGGGAGAGGUGAGUGGAAUUCCUAGUGUAGAGGUGAAAUUCGUAGAUAUUAGGAAGAACACCAGUGGCGAAGGCGGCGAUCUGGGAAGAUACUGACGCUGAGGUGCGAAAGCGUGGGGAGCAAACAGG
This 253-nucleotide ribosomal RNA is filed under the name uncultured bacterium. RNAcentral's name for it is "partial 16S ribosomal RNA". It matches the Rfam family "Bacterial small subunit ribosomal RNA", at positions 524 to 776 of the family's 1533-position model. The record is from RNAcentral.